GUUGUGUUGUGUUUUUUUGAGACAGGGUCUCACUAUGUCGUUGAGAAUGACCUGGAACUCACUAUGUAGCCCAGGCUGGUCUCGAUCCUCCUGCCUCAGCCUCCCGAGUGCUGGGAUUACAGGCGUGCGCCACCAUGUCCGGCUUCAGUCAUCUUCUUAGCAAACUCUCAGCCACAACAGUUAAGAGGUUCAAAAAAAAAUUUUUUUAAAGAAACGGAUAACCUUCAUAUUACCAUAAUAUCUGCACAAGAGUGAAGGUCCACCUGAUCAUGUGAUCCGCGUAAACAGGUGACCUUAAAGGUAUCUGGGCAGUAAAUUUGUGUUCUGACAUUUGUGUAUAUCAUCUUUCAGGGACCACUAUGGGUUGUUCCUCUUAAAUUUUGAAUAAUAAUCUUUGAAGAAGAGAGAUAGCACACACUGCCUUUAUUUCUAGUUAAGAAAAACAACAGGCCAGAGAGCAUAACGGUAACGUAUGAUUUUGCUGCUGUAUUAUCAUCCGGUAAUAAGUGCAACGUGAAACUGCCAAUUAUCUCAUAAGAGAGGUAUCACCUCUUCUGUUGUGAAAGGCUCCAUCAAUAACUGGGUUCAGCUCUCUCAUUCUCCCCUGAGCCACCGGCAGCUUCCCGUAGCAGAAGUGAGCCAGGGACACACAGAGGAAAGCAAACACAGUCAACACACAAACGCUCAAGCCAGCUCGGCCUCUGGCCUGGGCACAGAGAAGGGUCAAGGCAAAAGGAAGAGGGAGGGGCAGGGGCCUGGCCUGGAGUGAGCCGCAGGUCACACGCACGCGCAGCUUGGCAGCAAACUCAGUUUACAAAGAGACAUCUGUUCCAUUACUCUGAUGCACUGUGGCUAAUUACAUCCUGGCCCGUCUGUGAAAUGACAGCCACUUAUUCUCCAGUGAACCGUCUGUGCACUGAUUCCAUAAUAGUGCUUUGCCAACCACCUUGCUUCCCAGCCCAACUCCUCCGUCUGCUGUCGAGCUCAGCGCGCCGCGAGAAGGACAUGCCAUGGAGCUUUUGCCCAGGGGCGAGUAGGGGACUAAAAUGUGCCUGCUCUGUCUGUGCGCUCACAUUUCAGACACACGCCGGAUGGUAACUUGCUAACACAGGUUUUGGUUCACUGCUCAACCUCAGUACCGGGAAGGACGAUGUUGGAAAAAUGAACUAAAAUGGCAUUUUGUAGAACUGUCAGGUCUUCAUGAUCCACAUUUAAGGACACUGCAAGACUAAAACCAAAAAUCUGAUUAGCUGAAAUGCGUCAUAAUUUAAUCUUGUUCCUGUGUUCAUCUUCUCAGUCCACCAAAUCUUUUGUCGGAAAGAAGUUUAUAGCUAUGUACUGGGGUCACGCAGCAUGACAAUACCUGAGUGUUUUGGAGCCCUGUCAUGAAACAGCUGCUGUUUCCAGGUUAGCAGCCCGGCCAUUACUGACCUGCUUGGUAUGGUACCAUCCUAAUCUGUAGCCCAGCUUCCGUUUCAAGACAUGAGCCCUUUCCCUUCCUGAGAUAGCUCUCUUUGGGCCCGACGAAGUGAGCUCCUGUGCAUGGUGUCACAGCCACGAAGAAAAACCCCACCCAACAAAGGAAAAGGCUCUGCCCACAGGGCCCUGGGGAGGUGCCAUUUCAUCUUCUCUUGCACUGCGCUGACAUUUUUAAAUUAUAAUGAUUCCAUAUCCCAAAUGAGUCCUAAGAACAUUCUGAAUCAGCUAAUUAAUAAAUCAAUUGCUCUUCAGGAUGGCAUUUAUCAAAUUCACAACUAAUAUGUGCAGUGAGGUUAGAAUGGAAGUCUGCAGCUGCUGUAUCGCUGGCUCUAGGAGGACCUGUUUAUGAAGAAUCUAGCAUGUUUGAAACCCUUCACCACACCCUGGCUGCAAGCUAAGCACCUGUAAGUAUCUCUGCAGUCUCUCUGGAUCCACCAGGGCCCCGGUUAAUCACCAGAGGCAGUAUCUUAUGGACUAAUGAGUAGCUGCUAAAGACGGAAGAAGGAGCAGCCCUCCUAAUCAAACACUCAGCAGUCCAUAUGGUGGUGGUAAUUGAAACAUCCUUCUGGUCACACCGUUGAACGAAGGUUAGAACCAAUUAGAUGCCACUGUUUAGAUGUGGGUAGCAUUCUGGUGUCUUUAUCUUGCUCAUUAGGCACAGGGAUGACAUGGGGGUCGACAAUAGCAAGCUGCCAUACUUCUUUGCAAAGAGUGGACCAUUAAUGAAUUCUUCAAUUCCUUAAGACCUGGUAGUUUUUUUUCUACACAUUUCAGAACCACUGCCAAUGCAAAUCAGUUGUGACGACGAGGCUGUGAGAGCAGCGUGUACUGCUCUUAAUUGUCUACUUGGCCGGUGUCUUUCUCGGUUAUAGAUGGAACCCUCCUCACCAUUACAGCCACGUCGCUCUUCUCCAUGUGCUGUGGAGGGGCUGGUGUGGACAGUGUGGACAAGAGAGAGGAAUGGUAGGCAAACAGCCCAGGUGUGCCGUGCAUCCAUAGUGGAACAAAGUUGGACCAGAAGACAAGACAGCAGAGAGACUGGGGGCUUGGGGAGUGCAGAGGCAGAGCCGUUGUUCUGAGACCAAAGGAUUGAGCACAAGCCUGCCACUGACUGGCUCAGACUCCAGCUCCCACUCUUCGCCCUGUUUUUCUUUUAUCACUAGUAUGGUUUUCCUAGUGGAGAGGACUUCUUUUUUUGAAAAAGAUAACAGGCCGUGAACUCUGCAGUCAAAUAGUCACUCAAGCCCAAUGGCUCUGCAAAUUACUUAGGCAGAAUCGAAGCUCGAGGGUAGAAAUCAAUUAUAGGGUCUGUGUGUGGGGACUUGGAAAUGGCACAUCGUCCAACAGAAAGCACAUGCCAAAGGAGGAAGAGACGGGAAGGGGGCAUUGAGGAUGGCGGCGGGUGAGGGGGGUAGGAUCAGACACAUCGCUGUAUUAGGUGUGUACAGAGAAAGCACACCGCACAGAGAUGGGAAAGUCUGUAUGAACUAAGAACGAAGAUAGAAGAAUUUUCAUUCAAGUUGAGGGUGUGUGCAACAGGCCAAACUGGCAGAGAUAGCCAGGUAGGGACUGAAGUCAGAGAAAUUAAAUAAAUGCAAAGAAAUCCCAUUUUGCUGGCUGGGUUUGUUUCUGAACAGAUGUCAGAAAGCACCAAUCCUGCCUGUAUUCUUUUCACGGCUGUACGGAGAUCUCACAUAGUGAGUGACUGCAGGAGUUAGACUGGCUGGAGACCAAGGCAAAGCAGGAAGCUACUUUGAGUAACAUUUUACUCAUCGCAGUGUUUUUGGAUUUGAAACAGAUUCUUACCUUAUCUGAACUAAAGCAUUUCAUAGGAUACGAUUUCUUAUUUUCCCUCUUGUGGUCCCAUUUAUACAUCUACGGAGAGUGGUACAUAUGAUCGUGCUCUUGGCACUGCUGUCUCUGUAUGCCCAAUAUUAUGAUAAUUUUGAAAUACAAACUGAAUGAAUACAUAGGUAGGUCAUUUUCAAAAUGAUUUUUUAUUUGCUCAACAGAUUGAAUCUGUGCAGUAGUAAAAUUACAGUUGGUUAAGUAAAUCUUGAGUCCGAGUAAGGUUUAUCAGGGUAAUGCUAAUCUUUAACCCCUUAGUCUAGAAUAUAUUUUUAAGAGUGGGAGGAAAUUCCAACAUCUAUAUCAACAGAGAACUCACAGAGUUUGAAAUGCUCCUAGCACACUUCCUUGCAGUUAUUUAUGACAGCUUGACAGUGACAAAAAAAUUAGGAGCCGAAAUGCUUUCUCCUCCGAUCUGCGGAUGCCUGUUUAUGCCAACUGGAUUGAUCAUUUUGUGCCUUAAUUUCCCUUCCUGCAGUUUGCCGGAAGCCUUAUCGAGUACACCAUGGAUUCUAACAAGCUAGCACUGCAACUUAUUUUUAGUUUACUAGUCAUGCUCUGUCGCCAAACUAUGCAUUUUUAUGUGUAAGGGAAAGAGUUUAAGAAAGAAAUGAUCUACUAGGAACAGUUUAAAUAUUAUUUCACAUUUAAAGAUGUGUUUAAAACUAGUCAUCAG
Molecule: long non-coding RNA, 4003 nt
Organism: Fukomys damarensis (Damara mole-rat)
Lineage: Eukaryota; Metazoa; Chordata; Mammalia; Rodentia; Bathyergidae
Source: Ensembl